UACGUAGGCAGCAAGCGUUGUUCGGAGUUACUGGGCGUAAAGAGUGUGUAGGCGGUUCUCUAAGUUCGGUGUGAAAUCUCCCGGCUCAACUGGGAGGGUGCGCCGGAAACUGGGGGGCUUGAGUAUGGGAGGGGAAAGCGGAAUUCCUGGUGUAGCGGUGAAAUGCGUAGAUAUCAGGAGGAACACCUGCGGUGUAGACGGCUUUCUGGACCAUCACUGACGCUGAGACACGAAAGCGUGGGUAGCAAACAGG
This 253-nucleotide ribosomal RNA is filed under the name uncultured bacterium. RNAcentral describes it as "partial 16S ribosomal RNA". It matches the Rfam family "Bacterial small subunit ribosomal RNA", at positions 524 to 776 of the family's 1533-position model. The record is from RNAcentral.